Molecule: ribosomal RNA, 221 nt
Filed under: uncultured bacterium
Lineage: Bacteria
Description: partial 16S ribosomal RNA
Rfam family: Bacterial small subunit ribosomal RNA
Source: RNAcentral
CGGGUAACGUACCCAUCAGAGGGGGAUAACACUUGGAAACAGGUGCAAUACCGCAUAACAGUUUAUGCCGCAUGGCAUAAGAGUGAAAGGCGCUUCGGGUGUCGCUGAUGGAUGGACCCGCGGUGCAUUAGCUAGUUGGUGAGGUAACGGCUCACCAAGGCCACGAUGCAUAGCCGACCUGAGAGGGUGAUCGGCCACACUGGGACUGAGACACGGCCCAG